RNAcentral lists this ribosomal RNA (395 nucleotides) under uncultured bacterium. Its description in RNAcentral is "partial 16S ribosomal RNA". It matches the Rfam family "Bacterial small subunit ribosomal RNA", at positions 360 to 773 of the family's 1533-position model. The record is from RNAcentral.
AAUAUUGCACAAUGGGGGAAACCCUGAUGCAGCGACGCCGCGUGAGCGAAGAAGGCCUUCGGGUCGUAAAGCUCUGUCCUAAGGGAAAAAACGGACGGUACCCUAGGAGGACGCACCGGCUAACUACGCGCAAGCAGCCGCGGUAAUACGUAGGGGGCUAGCGUUAUCCGGAAUUACUGGGCGUAAAGGGUGCGUAGGCGGCCUUUUAAGUCAGAUGUGAAAGGCUACGGCUUAACCGUAGUUAGCAUUUGAAACUAGAAGGCCUGAGUGCAGGAGAGGAGAGUGGAAUUCCUAGUGUAGCGGUGAAAUGCGUAGAUAUUAGGAGGAACACCAGUGGCGAAGGCGACUCUCUGGACUGCAACUGACGCUGAGGCACGAAAGCGUGGGGAGCAAAC